GCGAGAGUAGCUCAGUUGGUAGAGCGUCUCCUUGCCAUGGAGAAGGUCGCGGGUUCGAGCCCCGUUUCUCGCU
Molecule: transfer RNA, 73 nt
Filed under: Patescibacteria group bacterium
Lineage: Bacteria
Also listed under: 1 other name
Description: tRNA-Gly
Rfam family: tRNA
About the family: Transfer RNA (tRNA) molecules are approximately 80 nucleotides in length. Their secondary structure includes four short double-helical elements and three loops (D, anti-codon, and T loops).
Source: RNAcentral